GCCGGGCAAGGUGGCUCAUGCCUGUAAUCCCAGCACAUUGGGAGGCUGAGGUGGGUGGAUCACCUGAGGUCAGGAGUUCAAGACCAGCCUGGCCAACAUGGUGAAACCCCAUCUCUA
RNAcentral lists this small RNA (117 nucleotides) under Pongo abelii (Sumatran orangutan). Its description in RNAcentral is "Metazoan signal recognition particle RNA (ENSPPYG00000019572.2)". Lineage: Eukaryota; Metazoa; Chordata; Mammalia; Primates; Hominidae. The record is from Rfam by way of RNAcentral.